UACAGGGGGUGCAAACGUUGCUCGGAAUCAUUGGGCGUAAAGCGCACGUAGGCGGUUCGUUAAGUCGGAUGUGAAAGCCCUCGGCUCAACUGAGGAAGUGCACCCGAAACUGGCGAGCUUGAGUACGAAAGAGGAUCGCGGAAUUCCCGGUGUAGAGGUGAAAUUCGUAGAUAGUCGGGGAGGAACACCGGGUGGCGAAGGCGGCGAAUCUGGGUCGAUACUGACGCGUGAGGUGGCGAAAGCGUGGGGAGCGAACAGG
RNAcentral lists this ribosomal RNA (259 nucleotides) under uncultured bacterium. RNAcentral describes it as "partial 16S ribosomal RNA". It matches the Rfam family "Bacterial small subunit ribosomal RNA", at positions 524 to 776 of the family's 1533-position model. The record is from RNAcentral.